GGUGUUUAUUAAUUUCUCAGUGAUUUGUUGAAUGAAUGAAGGAAUGAAUGAAUGAAUGAUGUCUUUACCUUGAGAUUGGAGUUCUUUCAGAUUUGCUCUCUGCCCACCUCACCAGCCUCUUCUCCUAUCUUUACUCCAGCUACACAGAUGUCCGUGCAUGUUUUUCUUAGCACUCCAGGUGGAUUCAAACCUCAGGGCCUUUGCACACACUGUUCCCUCUGCCUGGUAAAAUAUUUCUCCACCAGCCAGGGCCUACUUCUCUUUCUACUUCUGGUUGACCCCAGAUACAGUUGGCCACUCCCUCCUAUGUUUGGAGCCAAACUAAACAAAUCUCUUAUUAUAAUACUCAUCACAUUGUCUGUGGCUUUGCCUAUUUUUCCUUUCUUUUAUCAGAGUGGAAGAAGCUUCUUUGGGUAGAGACAAGUCUAUUCAUCUUGGGGGACAUCAGGCCAACUCCACACCGAAGGCUGAUGAAACUUCAGGCAAUAUCCCUUCAUCUGAAUCUGAUGACGUGUGUCACGUUUUCCAGGUCCACACUCAGGGAUCUGGUCUGCGUUUUCAUGUAAGCUUUCUCCACUCUCACUUUCCCUGGACUCUCAUCCAGGAUUAGAUUUUUUUUUUUCUUUUAAAUGGAAUCUCAUUCUGUCACCCAGGCUGGAGUGCAGUGGCACCGUCUCGGCUCACUGCAACCUCUGCCUCCUGGGUUCAAGCGAUUCUCCUGCCUUGGCCACCACGCCUGGCUAAUUUUUGUAUUUUUAGUAGAGACGAGGUUUUGCCAUGUUGACUACGCUGUUCUCGAACUCCUGACUUCAUGUGAUCCACCCGCGUCAGCCUCCCAAACUGCUGGGAUUACAAGCAUGAGCCACCACGCCUGCCGCGAUUAGAUCAUUGAUCUCAUUGCAGGUGAACCAGUCCAGACCCCCAUCCAGGUUUUCCAGCUUGCUCGCUCCUCACGCUGUGGCUGUGUCCUGUGUUGCCGUGUUUCCGCUGAAUCCAGCCCUUGUUUUCGCUCUUCCUGGCCUUGCGGGCAGCCAGGAUUGAAAGAUCCAGGAAGUGACAGGGGCCUGACUCAUCAACUUGUAAGAGAGCUGGGGUUCUCCUAGAUCCAUGCUCGCACUGAGCCACAUCUGGGGCUCCGUCCCUGCAGCCAAGGCUCCCUGGCGCUGUCCUUGGUGCUGACGCGGUUCUGGAAGUGCGGUGCCAGGGUGGCUGGUGCGGCUCCCGAUGGAAAAGCCCCACCAACCCCACAAAGCAGACUCGGGAGAGAACACGCCACCGUCUUUAGCGAAUCUUACCAACCCAGGGCCAAAGCGCCCUGCACCCCAGAGCAGCACUCGUGGUGGGAACACAGGCUGAUGUAAUAAACAGAAAAGUGACUGCGGGGGAUGGGGAAGGCGGGAUGUCCUUAGCGUCCCAUGGAAAAAACAUAUUUCCUCCAGAUGGGAUCAUCG
Molecule: long non-coding RNA, 1451 nt
Organism: Homo sapiens (human)
Lineage: Eukaryota; Metazoa; Chordata; Mammalia; Primates; Hominidae
Exons: 2
Source: RefSeq, a predicted model, not a curated record